This 233-nucleotide ribosomal RNA is filed under the name uncultured bacterium. RNAcentral describes it as "partial 16S ribosomal RNA". It matches the Rfam family "Bacterial small subunit ribosomal RNA", at positions 103 to 339 of the family's 1533-position model. The record is from RNAcentral.
CGGGUGAGUAAUGCUUAGGAAUCUGCCCAGCAGUGGGGGACAACCCGGGGAAACUCGGGCUAAUACCGCAUACGUCCUACGGGAGAAAGCGGGGGACCGCAAGGCCUCGCGCUGCUGGAUGAGCCUAAGUCCGAUUAGCUAGUUGGUAGGGUAAAAGCCUACCAAGGCGACGAUCGGUAGCUGGUCUGAGAGGAUGAUCAGCCACACUGGGACUGAGACACGGCCCAGACUCC